RNAcentral lists this unclassified non-coding RNA (180 nucleotides) under uncultured Herpotrichiellaceae. RNAcentral's name for it is "sequence contains ITS2". Lineage: Eukaryota; Fungi; Ascomycota; Eurotiomycetes; Chaetothyriales; Herpotrichiellaceae. The record is from RNAcentral.
UCACCUCUCAAGCUCCCCGGCUUGGUGUUGGACGGUUUAGCCUUGGUAACAAGGCCCGUUUUAAAGUCAAUGACGGCGGCCUGUUCGACCCCCGGUACACCGAGCUUUUUAACUGAGCACGUAUCGGUGGAAGGGUAGGCAGGACCCGGUCUUCUUCCUUAACCGGAUAACUCUUUCCAA